RNAcentral lists this transfer RNA (76 nucleotides) under Thermus antranikianii. RNAcentral describes it as "tRNA-Lys". It matches the Rfam family "tRNA". Rfam says of the family: Transfer RNA (tRNA) molecules are approximately 80 nucleotides in length. Their secondary structure includes four short double-helical elements and three loops (D, anti-codon, and T loops). Lineage: Bacteria; Thermotogati; Deinococcota; Deinococci; Thermales; Thermaceae. RNAcentral also lists the same sequence under 3 other names. The record is from RNAcentral.
GGGCGCCUAGCUCAAUCGGUAGAGCAGCGGACUUUUAAUCCGCGGGUUCAGGGUUCGAGUCCCUGGGCGCCCACCA